AACCAGGGGGUUGAGCUAUGCAUUUACGGUAAAAAGAUAGUUAAGCGAAGCAAGAGGUUUAGUUCAUUGCGUUAUUAAGGGGUAGAAUCCGAAUAUAAUUAAAUAUACUAACUAAAACCAAAGAGCUGAAGCUAUGACAACUUUGAGGGAAACUAGGAUUAGAUACCCUACUAUUCAUAGACGUAAAUAGGAAAACUCUACCAGAGUACUAAGAAUAAAAAAUUUAAAACUCAAAGGGCUUGGCGGUGUUUUAGACUACUUAGGGGAACCUGUCUCAUAAUCGACAGUCCACGUUAGACCUAACCUUCUCUUGCACUCAGUUUGUAUACCGUCGUCGCCAGGUAACUUUUAAGAUGCAAACAGUUAGCAAAUAAAAUAAUUGAAUUAAGACGUCAGAUCAAGGUGCAGCUGACGAGGAGGCAGGGAUGGGUUACAAUUAUAAUACUUAUAAUUACAGAUAAUGGUUUUAAAGACAAUUAGUAAGGAGGACUUAAAAGUAAAAUAAAUUAUAUAGACACUUUGAAUAAAGCUCUGGAACGUGC
This 542-nucleotide ribosomal RNA is filed under the name Nebularia acuminata. RNAcentral's name for it is "partial 12S ribosomal RNA". The record is from RNAcentral. Lineage: Eukaryota; Metazoa; Mollusca; Gastropoda; Neogastropoda; Mitridae.